GACAGAGGGGGCAAGCGUUGCUCGGAAUUACUGGGCGUAAAGGGCGCGUAGGCGGGUUGGCAAGUCGGUCGUGAAAUCCCUCGGCUCAACUGAGGAUCGUCGAUCGAUACUGCCGUUCUUGAGGAUUGCAGAGGAGACUGGAAUUCCCGGUGUAGCAGUGAAAUGUGUAGAGAUCGGGAGGAACACCGGUGGCGAAGGCGGGUCUCUGGGCAAUUCCUGACGCUGAGGCGCGAAGGCCAGGGGAGCAAACGGG
This 253-nucleotide ribosomal RNA is filed under the name uncultured bacterium. Its description in RNAcentral is "partial 16S ribosomal RNA". It matches the Rfam family "Bacterial small subunit ribosomal RNA", at positions 524 to 776 of the family's 1533-position model. The record is from RNAcentral.